CGGGAAACCGGAGCUAAUACCGGAUAAGAUAUCGAACCGCAUGGUUCGAUAGUGAAAGAUGGUUUUGCUAUCACUUAUAGAUGGACCCGCGCCGUAUUAGCUAGUUGGUGAGGUAACGGCUCACCAAGGCAACGAUACGUAGCCGACCUGAGAGGGUGAUCGGCCACACUGGAACUGAGACACGGUCCAGACUCCUACGGGAGGCAGCAGAC
Molecule: ribosomal RNA, 212 nt
Filed under: uncultured Staphylococcus sp.
Lineage: Bacteria; Bacillati; Bacillota; Bacilli; Caryophanales; Staphylococcaceae
Description: partial 16S ribosomal RNA
Rfam family: Bacterial small subunit ribosomal RNA
Source: RNAcentral